GAGCGGUUCGAGAGACGAAUAGGGCGGGCAAGGGCGCCGCGCAGGGAAGAUCGGUUCGUUCCUGGGCUCGGACUUUUUGCCUUCAACUUCAUGCACGCAUGUACUUCUCAGUAACAAAAUAAUACGGAGUACAAAUAGUGUCACCUAACGCUAGUGUUGUUUGCAAUUGCCAAUCCUAGGACCGUACCUUGACAUGAUUUAGGGUAUUUAGUAUGUAUGAUGGUCUUUUUUUCUCUUAGUGUGGCAUGAUUAAUUUGGAAGAAAGAGAGACGAAAAAGUUAUGUGGUCAAUUCGUCAUAGAUGAUGAUCUUUUUAGCCUUCUUUCAGCCAAAAGAUGAUCUGUCGAAGACAGAUAAACUACCAUUUUUUACACUGCGCAGAUUUUGUCUUUGACCCAACCAGAGCCUGCCCACCCAACAAUUUUCUAAAAUUUCCUUGCAUUAAUAGAAAUUAUUGCAUGGAAACGCAAAGUUUUUGCGUUUUCUCAAAAAAAAAAUUAUUAAAAAAUUCUGGGAAAAAAUAGUAUUGCAGUGUAUUUGUCCCACCAAAUAUUAAAAAAAAAAUGUUUGCUUCAUCCAAAGUUCAAAAGCUGGUUCCGCCACCCAACAGCUUCUUUGUAACUUUAAACAAAGAUCUAGCUUUAUUUCCUGAACGAUGGAUGUUGUUCUAGCUCACGAAGUUAUAGUAGUCCCCCAUUAAUUUGUUAAUGCAAAUCUAAUCUUUUACCUAUUGUGCACGUUUUGUCUUAAGUAUUUAAUUAAAUUUCGUAGUUGGCAUCCAAUUGUUUUUAGAUCAGGUACCGUACGAUGCGAAUCAAAAGGCACGCAGUAAAGGACGAUUCGGAAGAUCGGUUGCUGACUGGUUCCGUCACAGUUUGGAAGUAGCACCUGGUGUCAUGCUCUCCAUAUAUAUUAAGGCAUAUUAAUCUGCACAUGGAUCAUGACAAGUCAGUCGCCAAAAUGAUGAACACACGCGCAUUUUUUUUCCUGGGUCCAUUCCCAAUAAGUGGGUAAUGGUGAGCAGAAAACGGCCCGUGGGGACUGGAAAAAUGCAUAUGUCUAUGCCAUCGAUUGCUCUGAAACACUGAUUAAUUAAUCUGACCGUUGAAAGGUAGAUUGGACUGG
This 1124-nucleotide long non-coding RNA is filed under the name Brachypodium distachyon (stiff brome). RNAcentral's name for it is "long non-coding RNA (BDIS_LNC006030)". Lineage: Eukaryota; Viridiplantae; Streptophyta; Magnoliopsida; Poales; Poaceae. The record is from RNAcentral.